Non-coding RNA from Sus scrofa (pig), 177 nucleotides. NCBI's taxonomy places the organism in Eukaryota, Metazoa, Chordata, Mammalia, Artiodactyla, Suidae. The record is from Rfam.
UUGAUAUGAGUCCACAAGCCAGGCGGGUUUAAGGCUUGGGGCACCUAAACCAGGAGAAUCAGGGAGGAGCCAGGCACAAGGAUGGGCCCCGGCACCCCUCACUUCCGGUGAUUUCCAUGUGGCAAGGCUGUGGGCCGCCCUGGUGAUCUCUGAAGACAUGACUGGAUCUACCCGCUA